RNAcentral lists this ribosomal RNA (840 nucleotides) under uncultured bacterium. Its description in RNAcentral is "bacterial SSU rRNA". It matches the Rfam family "Bacterial small subunit ribosomal RNA", at positions 28 to 897 of the family's 1533-position model. The record is from RNAcentral.
GAUGAACGCUGGCGGCGUGCCUAACACAUGCAAGUCGAGCGAUUUACUUCGGUAAAGAGCGGCGGACGGGUGAGUAACGCGUGGGUAACCUGCCUCAUACACAUGGAUAACAUACCGAAAGGUAUGCUAAUACAGGAUAAUAUAAGAGAUUCACAUGGAUUUCUUAUCAAAGCUCCGGCGGUAUGAGAUGGACCCGCGUCUGAUUAGCUAGUUGGUAAGGUAAUGGCUUACCAAGGCGACGAUCAGUAGCCGACCUGAGAGGGUGAUCGGCCACAUUGGAACUGAGACACGGUCCAAACUCCUACGGGAGGCAGCAGUGGGGAAUAUUGCACAAUGGGCGAAAGCCUGAUGCAGCAACGCCGCGUGAGUGAUGAAGGCCUUCGGGUCGUAAAACUCUGUCCUCAAGGAAGAUAAUGACGGUACUUGAGGAGGAAGCCCCGGCUAACUACGUGCCAGCAGCCGCGGUAAUACGUAGGGGGCUAGCGUUAUCCGGAUUUACUGGGCGUAAAGGGUGCGUAGGUGGUUUUUUAAGUCAGAUGUGAAAGGCUACGGCUCAACCGUAGUAAGCUCUUGAAACUGGAAAACUUGAGUGCAGGAGAGGAAAGUGGAAUUCCUAGUGUAGCGGUGAAAUGCGUAGAUAUUAGGAGGAACACCAGUAGCGAAGGCGGCUUUCUGGACUGUAACUGACACUGAGGCACGAAAGCGUGGGGAGCAAACAGGAUUAGAUACCCUGGUAGUCCACGCCGUAAACGAUGAGUACUAGGUGUCGGGGGUUACCCCCCUCGGUGCCGCAGCUAACGCAUUAAGUACUCCGCCUGGGGAGUACGCUCGCAAGAGUGA